RNAcentral lists this ribosomal RNA (1244 nucleotides) under Acaulopage tetraceros. Its description in RNAcentral is "eukaryotic LSU rRNA". The stretch from base 601 to 1244 matches the Rfam family "Eukaryotic large subunit ribosomal RNA", at positions 1 to 631 of the family's 3401-position model. Lineage: Eukaryota; Fungi; Zoopagomycota; Zoopagomycetes; Zoopagales; Zoopagaceae. The record is from RNAcentral.
GGUGAACCUGCGGAAGGAUCAUUGAGUUUGUGGUUUAACAUGGGCAUAUUGCCAUCCUUGUGUAAUGUAUGUGUGAUAGUGUAUGUGCCUUUGGUCUCUGGGCCACAGGCACACUACUCUUUCUUUAAACUCUUUUUUAUAUCUUUUCUCUGAACCUUUCUUUGCGUGCUUUGGAAACAGGCACCAAAAACAAUAAUCGAAAACUGCCAGCAAUGGAUCACUCGGUUCUCGCAUCGAUGAAGAGCGUAGCGAAUUGCGAAAAGUAAUGUGAUUUGCAACAGUCGUGAAUCAUUGAAUUCUUUGAACGCACCUUGCACUUGUGUGGGCAACUGCACAGUCUGGCCUGUUUGAGUAUUGACUAGAAAUUCAACUCGGCCUUUGCGCCGGAUGAUGAGUGCUACAUUUUCUCCCUGGAGAGAUGGCACUUGCAAGGCAAAAACUAUUUGCGCAUUUGUGUGUGUUUUGACGCGCGCAGUGCUCAUGAUCUCGAGGCACACUUUUUGUUGCUACUCAAUCGUGUUCAUGAUACAAGCACUCUUGUCGUCACUCACAACCAAGCACUCUUGCGUAGACUUGCUUCAGUCAACACCUCUUUUUAUGCAAUCUCAAAUCAGGUAGGAUUACCCCCUUAACUUAAGCAUAUCAGUCAGCGGAGGAAAAGAAACCAACAGGGAUUCCCUUAGUAACGGCGAGUGAAGCGGGAAUAGCUCAGGCUGAAAAUCCAGUGUUCCUUAAGGAUGUCUUGACGUGUGGUCUGACGAGGCAUGCUCGGUAACAAUGUAAACUCAAGUCCUCUGGAAAGGGGCACCAUGGAGGGUGACAGUCCCGUUCGCAGUUUACAUACAUACGUUGCCAUGAGAGCUGUCUUCAGAGAGUCGGGUUGCUUGGGAGUGCAGCCCAAAUGGGGUGGUAUACGCCAUCCAAGGCUAAAUAUCAGCGAGAGACCGAUAGCGAACAAGUACUGUGAAGGAAAGUUGAAAAGCACUCUGGAGAGAGAGUCAAACGAGCACGUGAAAUUGCUGGCAGGGAAGCGCUGGGCGUCAGUGCGCAUGCUCCUAAGGGAACAGGUUAAGGAUGGUGGUCUGUAGCUAUGUGCAAUGUACAUGGUCAUGGUGCUGCUAUCCUCAGCUGCAAGCCCUUGAGUGUGGGUCAGCAUCGGUUAAGGCUUGUGUCACAUAACGGCUUUGGUUAUGGUGCUUUUGGUACGAUAACCUAGGUGCGGCGUGAUACCCUUGACCGUGGAA